This 1329-nucleotide long non-coding RNA is filed under the name Anser brachyrhynchus (Pink-footed goose). Its description in RNAcentral is "lncRNA (ENSABRG00000007869.1)". The record is from RNAcentral. Lineage: Eukaryota; Metazoa; Chordata; Aves; Anseriformes; Anatidae.
CACUUUCAAGGAACAUCAAAAUCAGCAUGCUUCUUUAAGCAAUGUCCAAAGGGGAGUGAAAGGACUUCAUUGUUUAUGGUGUAAAUGUUUUUAAGCAUUAAAUGGCAGCCUAUAUUGUUUAUAUUGGAUUUAGAUCCAAAGCAGCUCUUGAAGCUGUUUUGUCAGGUGUUAAACUGCACGUAAAGACACCACGUUACUGCCUUGCAGUUGUAUCAUAAAUUAUCAGAUGAUAAAAAGAGGACAAUGCACUACUAUUGUAAAGAAGAGCUAUAAAGCAUAUGAAUCUUCUGCAGAUAUCAAUAACAUGGCAGUCACAAGAUUAAAAUCUGAGUAUUUUUAUGUUGUCUGGGCCUGAAGUGUUUAUUUACCUUAAAUCUAUUUUCUGCCUUGUGAGUUGUUGAGGUUUGCAAGUAUUUACGGUCAAAUGGAUCUGAGGCUGAACACAUGACCCAAUCUAAGAUCUUGGAGGUCAGAGAAAAAGCCAUCAUUUCUCUUGUGUCUACCACUGGGUUUGAGGAACACAGAUAUUUAUAUAUGCGCUGGUCGGGGGGAUGAGAUUUUUGCACUAUAAACUUGUCAUUUUGUUGAAAUAUACAGAGUGGUUGUUUACUUCUAAAUGUAAAUCAUAAGGCACAAACAGACAUUAGGACUGCAUAUUCUAUCUUGUAGAUUCAGUACAAAACCAUGCACCCAGGAUGGAUAUUUCAAAGCUCAUGAAAACAACAGAUCCAUGUUUACCUACAAUUUAUUUGCAGGCUGCAGCUGAAUUGGUUAACAGCUGAUGCAAAUUGUUAUGAGUGAGUAAAGGGCCCACCCUCCUUGUAACUCUACUGAAACAGAAAGACCUGUAAAAAAUACCUCUCCCAAUUUUGAAGAAAUUGUCUUGUGGCCUUCAGUUGCUUUUUGUUUUAAUCCAGUUUAUAUGCUUAAUCCUUAAAGGCAAAUAAAGGUUCCCUGAAUACAUUCUUCCAGAGACUGAGCUGUCUUCCAUCACCAUGUUCGUUGCUGCUACUGUUUUAACUCUCUCAGGACAAGGAAACCACCUCAAAAUGCAACUGGAAGGUGCUUUAAGAAGUUAUACUCUCAUGUUUUCUUUCAAGGGUAACCUAGUGUCUCUCACAAACCUGUCAAAAUUCCUCCAAGAUACAAAAUAUGAUGGAAAAUCAAGAUGACCAGCAGCAGAGGACUCAGAUCACUUACAACCACGUUUAGGUGAAGGAUUGUCUUCUGCAGCUGGUACAUGGCAUGUUCUUCUCUUCUUCUUCUCCAUUUGCUUGGCUUUAACCACUUUGAAAUAAACGUUCAACAGGAAAUUGUGUACUACUUUAG